GGGGUCAGGGACUGGGCCAAGCUCAGAAGCGGGGAGAAGAGCGAGACAGAGAUGCUCUGAGCAGGGGAGACAGGGAUCCCGGGCUGCUGCCGCUACCAACAAGGGUACACACUGCGGUCCUCAAGGCCAGGAGGGGGGUGGGGGCAGGGAAUGCCUCAGCCAACAGGGCAGCGGCUCGGCCCUGCUGCUGGCCCGGUGGGAAGUAGCCUGGGGCCCCGCGACUGAAAUCCGAGCCAGGCCUGGGCAGUCUCCGCUAGAAACGCUCUGGGCGCGCACUCCUGGAGACGCGGAGGCCCGGGCGCUCCAGACCAGUGUCCUUGUAGGAGGCUUCUUCACGAAGCUUAGAGUUUGGCCUUUCAUAGGGAAAGACUUGCUCGGGAGCAAGUCUAAGGGAUUUUAAGGGAUUUUAAAUCUUCCUGGGCCAGGGCUAGGGAGCUCUAGUGACAGUGUCUUGGUCUGGAAUCCAACUCUCCAAUUUUGAGGCCGCAGGGAGGAAUUCUGAGACUUUAGAGGCCGCACAGCCUUCAGCGCGCUCACCGCGUCCAGGCGUCAGUGAGGGGCUAUCUCGAGGCGCGAGUGCACAAAAGGUAGCGCGAGUCUCUUCUCAGGCGAUCCAGAUAAGAGGAAAUGAGAGCCGGGUUUUCUGACUUCCAACUCAUUAGGGACCAGGUUCUUUUUCUUCAGGAUCAGGCACAGAGACUGACUGAAUGGCUCCAAUUAUCAGGAUUUGAAAACCCAGUAUCAGAAUCUACCACUUUGUAUGUUAAUUAUUCAUACUGCAUGACUGAGGAUUUUGGAGGCAGAGAGAGAUUCAUCUGCAAUAUUUGGAACACCAAUGGAGGUCUACGUCAACACAGAAUUUAUACAGCAGCUGGUGCUAGUCAGAGCUAAUGACAGAAUUUCAGUUUAAUAAAAAGACCCCCAACUGAGCACACCAUCUUGAAAAAAGUAUACUUAUCAAACAGCUUUCAAUCAGUUCAAGAGAGACACCUUAAUUGGGGAGAGGAAGAAUUGCAGAGUAGUUUGUAAUCAUGCCAAUUCCAGAUCAAUAACUGCAUGUCUGUUCUUUGGUAGAAAUAGCUUUUGCUUUAUAUUAAGUAAUCACAUAUAUAUUCUCUCUAUUUGGAUAAGGAAACCUUCGCUUUAUUUGACAAUGUAUAAUGAUAUACUCUUCUAAUUCACCUCUGUGUCUUCACAAUAAACAUGAGUAAAAUUUAG
RNAcentral lists this long non-coding RNA (1218 nucleotides) under Homo sapiens (human). Its description in RNAcentral is "long non-coding RNA NONHSAT169231.1". The record is from RNAcentral. Lineage: Eukaryota; Metazoa; Chordata; Mammalia; Primates; Hominidae.